UUGAAGAGUUUGAUCAUGGCUCAGAUUGAACGCUGGCGGCAGGCCUAACACAUGCAAGUCGAGCGGUAACACAGAGAGCUUGCUCUCGGGUGACGAGCGGCGGACGGGUGAGUAAUGUCUGGGAAACUGCCUGAUGGAGGGGGAUAACUACUGGAAACGGUAGCUAAUACCGCAUAACGUCGCAAGACCAAAGUGGGGGACCUUCGGGCCUCAUGCCAUCAGAUGUGCCCAGAUGGGAUUAGCUAGUAGGUGGGGUAAUGGCUCACCUAGGCGACGAUCCCUAGCUGGUCUGAGAGGAUGACCAGCCACACUGGAACUGAGACACGGUCCAGACUCCUACGGGAGGCAGCAGUGGGGAAUAUUGCACAAUGGGCGCAAGCCUGAUGCAGCCAUGCCGCGUGUAUGAAGAAGGCCUUCGGGUUGUAAAGUACUUUCAGCGAGGAGGAAGGCGUUAAGGUUAAUAACCUUGGCGAUUGACGUUACUCGCAGAAGAAGCACCGGCUAACUCCGUGCCAGCAGCCGCGGUAAUACGGAGGGUGCAAGCGUUAAUCGGAAUUACUGGGCGUAAAGCGCACGCAGGCGGUCUGUCAAGUCGGAUGUGAAAUCCCCGGGCUCAACCUGGGAACUGCAUUCGAAACUGGCAGGCUAGAGUCUUGUAGAGGGGGGUAGAAUUCCAGGUGUAGCGGUGAAAUGCGUAGAGAUCUGGAGGAAUACCGGUGGCGAAGGCGGCCCCCUGGACAAAGACUGACGCUCAGGUGCGAAAGCGUGGGGAGCAAACAGGAUUAGAUACCCUGGUAGUCCACGCCGUAAACGAUGUCGACUUGGAGGUUGUGCCCUUGAGGCGUGGCUUCCGGAGCUAACGCGUUAAGUCGACCGCCUGGGGAGUACGGCCGCAAGGUCAAAACUCAAAUGAAUUGACGGGGGCCCGCACAAGCGGUGGAGCAUGUGGUUUAAUUCGAUGCAACGCGAAGAACCUUACCUACUCUUGACAUCCAGAGAACUUAGCAGAGAUGCUUUGGUGCCUUCGGGAACUCUGAGACAGGUGCUGCAUGGCUGUCGUCAGCUCGUGUUGUGAAAUGUUGGGUUAAGUCCCGCAACGAGCGCAACCCUUAUCCUUUGUUGCCAGCGGUCCGGCCGGGAACUCAAAGGAGACUGCCAGUGAUAAACUGGAGGAAGGUGGGGAUGACGUCAAGUCAUCAUGGCCCUUACGAGUAGGGCUACACACGUGCUACAAUGGCAUAUACAAAGAGAAGCGACCUCGCGAGAGCAAGCGGACCUCAUAAAGUAUGUCGUAGUCCGGAUUGGAGUCUGCAACUCGACUCCAUGAAGUCGGAAUCGCUAGUAAUCGUAGAUCAGAAUGCUACGGUGAAUACGUUCCCGGGCCUUGUACACACCGCCCGUCACACCAUGGGAGUGGGUUGCAAAAGAAGUAGGUAGCUUAACCUUCGGGAGGGCGCUUACCACUUUGUGAUUCAUGACUGGGGUGAAGUCGUAACAAGGUAACCGUAGGGGAACCUGCGGUUGGAUCACCUCCUU
Molecule: ribosomal RNA, 1536 nt
Filed under: Klebsiella aerogenes
Lineage: Bacteria; Pseudomonadati; Pseudomonadota; Gammaproteobacteria; Enterobacterales; Enterobacteriaceae
Description: bacterial SSU rRNA
Rfam family: Bacterial small subunit ribosomal RNA
Source: RNAcentral